Molecule: ribosomal RNA, 253 nt
Filed under: uncultured bacterium
Lineage: Bacteria
Description: partial 16S ribosomal RNA
Rfam family: Bacterial small subunit ribosomal RNA
Source: RNAcentral
CACGGAGGGUGCAAGCGUUAUUCGGAAUCACUGGGCGUAAAGAGCGCGUAGGCGGUCUCUUAAGUCAGAUGUGAAAGCCCGGGGCUCAACCCCGGAAGUGCAUUUGAAACUGAGGGACUUGAGUAUGGGAGAGGGAAGUGGAAUUCCUGGUGUAGCGGUGAAAUGCGUAGAUAUCAGGAGGAACACCGGUGGCGAAGGCGACUCCCUGGGUCACUACUGACGCUGAGGCACGAAAGCGUGGGGAGCAAAUAGG